CCUACGGGAGGCAGCAGUGAGGAAUAUUGGUCAAUGGACGCGAGUCUGAACCAGCCAAGUCGCGUGAAGGAUGAAGGUUCUAUGGGUUGUAAACCUCUUUUAUAAAGGAAUAAAACGUGGCACGUGUGCCAUUUUGUAUGUACUUUAUGAAUAAGGAUCGGCUAACUCCGUGCCAGCAGCCGCGGUAAUACGGAGGAUCCGAGCGUUAUCCGGAUUUAUUGGGUUUAAAGGGUGCGUAGAUGGGUUGUUAAGUCAGUGGUGAAAGUCUGUGGCUCAACCGUAAAAUUGCAAUUGAUACUGGGAGUCUUGAGUACAGUUGAGGUAAGCGGAAUUCGUGGUGUAGCGGUGAAAUGCUUAGAUAUCACGAAGAACCCCGAUUGCGAAGGCAGCUUACUAAGCUGUGACUGACAUUGAUGCUCGAAAGUGUGGGGAUCAAACAGGAUUAGAUACCCUUGUAGUC
Molecule: ribosomal RNA, 460 nt
Filed under: uncultured bacterium
Lineage: Bacteria
Description: partial 16S ribosomal RNA
Rfam family: Bacterial small subunit ribosomal RNA
Source: RNAcentral